Molecule: long non-coding RNA, 1104 nt
Organism: Amphibalanus amphitrite
Lineage: Eukaryota; Metazoa; Arthropoda; Thecostraca; Balanomorpha; Balanidae
Exons: 2
Source: RefSeq, a predicted model, not a curated record
GUUUAAAUCACAUAUCACUAAAAUCACUAGUCCAGCACCAGCUCCGCGCUCUGACUCGAUGGUCCCACGAUGAGCUCAGUGGCCCAGUGGCCCUGUGGCCUGACAUCGCUCGGCUGCUGGGGACGGCGAGGCGGCAUUGUCGGGACACCCAGGAUAUAUGCUGACGAUGUCCGUCUCUUCUGAAGACCUCUUCAGCUUCUUCGGUGGACCGCUCCUGGGCUCGCUGGAUUCAGCCGGAUACUGCGGCUGCAGUCUGUACUGCCGCCCUGCAGUCUGUACUGCCGCCCUGCGGUCUGUACUGCCGCCCUGCGGUCUGUACUGCCGCCCUGCAGUCUGGUCACCCUGGACCACUGGAGUACCAACGCAUGUGCUGCAAGCAAACUCCAGAUAUGAAGAGGCGUGGUGCUACCCUCGCCGACCAGCGAAUGGCCUCGGGACCACUUUGUACGCACGCUGGCCCUGUCCAGAUCCGCUCUCUGGCGGUGGUUUCGGCUGGGGGGGGGGGGUAGAGGCCGGGGAGCGGCAAAUGCUCUGCAGAGGUCGGAGGAGGGAACAGGAUCGUGGGCCAACGGUCGGUUCGGUGGGAGAGUGGGGAGGUCUGAAGACCAUGCGGUAUGCUGCGCUGGCGGCGGCCAGCCGCACCAGUUCACGGCAUCACCUGUCUGGAUGCGCUUCAUCUAGAGUUUCGUGCGAAAACCGACGUCACUGGUGUUGGUGCACUCAAUAAUAGUUCCGCUACGACUGACUGGUCGCCUGGUCUCCGGGCCACCCGCGGAGAUGCUUCGCCCGUGCAGCGGAAGGAGUGAUAUUUCCGAUAGUAUCUACCUCAGCGGGCUGCACUGUUCGUCAGAGACUGUGCGCCAUGUCAGUCUAGUGUUGACCGCCCUGAUUAAGGCCUCUCACUCAUGGCUAAGGACUGUUUGCCUGUGACACCGGGAGGUCUGCAGCGACUGAAGGCAACUUUAUCUGCAGGUCGGCUCUGUUCUCCAGUGUCAACCUGUUUGUGCUGCAGUGACUGAAGGCAACUUCUAGCUACAAGUCGGAACAACAGAUGGCGCUGAACCUGUCUGCGGCGGACGCCGUUGUCGCAGCUGAGCUAAACCU